AUGUACAGGAUGGAUCCAAAUUCUUGUUAUAUACUGAAAAUUAGAUUGCUUGGCAACCCAAAAAAAGCUAGAAAAGAGCCCAUGUGCUUUUAUUUCGAGAAGGUUAUUGAUUCCGACUUGACAAAUUAUGAAGAUUUGGUUGAAUCAAUUAUAGUGCAGUACCAGCCACGUUAUUUGGAAGUUGCGCAUGUUCACUACUAUGAUGAAGUUCUGAAAACGUUUCCAGAAAUAAAAUCAGACCAAGAGUUGAUGUAUAUGUUUGAGAAACAUGUUAAGUCAAAGAUGGUGCAGAUGUUCAUUGUAUAUUGGGAACCCUCUGAACCAUAUGAGCCUAUCAUUGAGUAUUAUAGUGAUGUGCAUAUCCAACCUAAGAACAACAUAGACCAAGAUGAUGAUAGUUAUCUUCGCAACCCAAUACCGGAGAAUGAACAUGUUGGGAUUGAUGAAGAGAAUAUGUAUUUGAAGGAAGAACCUAAAGCUCUAAAUAUGGUUCUUUUUCCUGAUAAAGAAAAGGACCAAGACUAUGUUGCUAAUGGUGAGAGUGAGGAUGAGAGUGAGGAUGGGAGUGAGGAUGAGAGUAAGGAUGAGAGCGAGGACGAGACUGAAGUAGAGGAGGAUGAGGAGUUGCAUGAGGUAAAUCAUUUCCCAAAUAUAGAGUAUGAUAAGGAUGACCCUCCUAUGACUGAAGGUUUCAUAUAUCCCAAUAUGAAGGAGUUUAAGUUGGCCCUUUCUCAGCAUGCUAUCAAACAUGAAUUUGAGUAUAACAUAGAGAAGAGUGCACCAUGUAGGUUCAGGGGCUAUUGUAAAAGAAGAGAUGAAGAUAAUUGUCCAUGGAGGAUACAUGCUUCUACAACAGAUGAUUUGUGUAUCGUAGUGGUGAAAAAAAACCUUUUGGUCAUGAUUGCUCUAGUGCAAGAAGGAAAAAGAAGGUGA
RNAcentral lists this ribosomal RNA (933 nucleotides) under Triticum aestivum (bread wheat). RNAcentral's name for it is "partial small subunit ribosomal RNA". The record is from RNAcentral. Lineage: Eukaryota; Viridiplantae; Streptophyta; Magnoliopsida; Poales; Poaceae.